This 64-nucleotide transfer RNA is filed under the name Ixodes persulcatus (taiga tick). RNAcentral's name for it is "tRNA-Ser". Lineage: Eukaryota; Metazoa; Arthropoda; Arachnida; Ixodida; Ixodidae. The record is from RNAcentral.
GACUUUUUAACUAUACCUAAGUAUAUAUUUUGAAAAUAUAAAAAAGAAUCUUUUUCUAAAAGUC